Long non-coding RNA from Scomber scombrus (Atlantic mackerel), 566 nucleotides. RefSeq lists it as uncharacterized. The transcript is spliced from 3 exons. NCBI's taxonomy places the organism in Eukaryota, Metazoa, Chordata, Actinopteri, Scombriformes, Scombridae. The record is from RefSeq and is a predicted model, not a curated record.
CAUUUUGCCAAAAAAUAAAAAAAUAAAUAAACUGUUUGUUUAAUGAGUUAAUUGUAAAUAAAAUAUUUUAAUGUUUAUUACUGAUGAGAGAUGAUAAGUUAAAGUAUAACUAAAGUAAUAAUAGUUUUUAAGCCCCUGUCAGUCACGACCUUUUGAAUCAUUCUAACGUUUCCUCUAACGUCGCCUUACAGGAAGUUUGUGUUAAACGAGUAUACGAGGGUCCGGGUAACGAGAUGGCUCAACAAAAUCUGAGAGCAGGAACCAAAGAGGUGCUUUUGAAAAUACUGGAAGCCUUGAAGGAUGACCAAUUCGAAAAGUUCAAGUGGUAUCUGGAAAACAAUGCUGGUAUCUCAGCAUGUGAACUGCAGCAUGCCAAGAGGCAGGACACCGUGGAUCUGAUAGUGAACACCUACCCUGCGCAGGCCAUGAAGGUGACCAGAUCAUUUUUGGAGAGCAUCAAGAGAAACGACCUGGCCCAGCAGCUGCCACAAAACAGCUGAAAAGCUUAAAUAUGUUUAAAGUGAGAAAGAUGCUUCAUCACUGACUGACCUGUUCACUCUCUGUCU